This 253-nucleotide ribosomal RNA is filed under the name uncultured bacterium. RNAcentral describes it as "partial 16S ribosomal RNA". It matches the Rfam family "Bacterial small subunit ribosomal RNA", at positions 524 to 776 of the family's 1533-position model. The record is from RNAcentral.
UACAGAGGUCCCAAGCGUUGUUCGGAUUCACUGGGCGUAAAGGGUGCGUAGGUGGUGAGGUAAGUCGGAUGUGAAAUCUCCAGGCUCAACCUGGAAAUGGCAUUGGAAACUACCUUGCUAGAGGGUUUGAGGGGGGACUGGAAUACUUGGUGUAGCAGUGAAAUGCGUAGAUAUCAAGUGGAACACCAGUGGCGAAGGCGGGCUACUGGGCCGAUACUGACACUCAGGUGCGACAGCGUGGGGAGCAAACAGG